Molecule: transfer RNA, 66 nt
Filed under: Asolene spixii
Lineage: Eukaryota; Metazoa; Mollusca; Gastropoda; Architaenioglossa; Ampullariidae
Description: tRNA-Leu
Rfam family: tRNA
About the family: Transfer RNA (tRNA) molecules are approximately 80 nucleotides in length. Their secondary structure includes four short double-helical elements and three loops (D, anti-codon, and T loops). Further hydrogen bonds mediate the characteristic L-shaped molecular structure. tRNAs have two regions of fundamental functional importance: the anti-codon, which is responsible for specific mRNA codon recognition, and the 3' end, to which the tRNAs corresponding amino acid is attached (by aminoacyl-tRNA synthetases). tRNAs cope with the degeneracy of the genetic code in two manners: having more than one tRNA (with a specific anti-codon) for a particular amino acid; and 'wobble' base-pairing, i.e. permitting non-standard base-pairing at the 3rd anti-codon position.
Source: RNAcentral
GCAAAAACGGCAGAUGAGUGCAUUAGACUUAGGCUCUAAAUAUAAAGGCUAGUUCUUUUUUUUGCA